GAUGAAGAACGCAGCGAAAUGCGAUACGUAAUGUGAAUUGCAGAAUACAGUGAAUCAUCGAGUCUUUGAACGCACAUUGCGCCCCCUGGUAUUCCGGGGGGCAUGCCUGUCCGAGCGUCAUUGCUGCCCUCAAGCACGGCUUGUGUGUUGGGCCUCCGUCCUCCUCCCGGGGGACGGGCCCGAAAGGCAGCGGCGGCACCGCGUCCGGUCCUCGAGCGUAUGGGGCUUCGUCACCCGCUCUUGUAGGCCCGGCCGGCGCUUGCCGACACAUCAAUCUUUUUUCCAGGUUGACCUCGGAUCAGGUAGGGAUACCCGCUGAACUUAAGCAUAUCAAUAAGCGGAGGA
RNAcentral lists this unclassified non-coding RNA (345 nucleotides) under soil metagenome. Its description in RNAcentral is "partial contains 5.8S ribosomal RNA, internal transcribed spacer 2, and large subunit ribosomal RNA". The stretch from base 1 to 120 matches the Rfam family "5.8S ribosomal RNA", at positions 35 to 154 of the family's 154-position model. The record is from RNAcentral.